RNAcentral lists this long non-coding RNA (931 nucleotides) under Olea europaea subsp. europaea. Lineage: Eukaryota; Viridiplantae; Streptophyta; Magnoliopsida; Lamiales; Oleaceae. The record is from RNAcentral.
CCAUUUGCAUAUGCCUUGUAUAAUCAUCUUCAUUUGACAGAUUCUUUUGGCCUCCAUUUAUCCACCAUGGGACGUCUCUUUCAAUUGUAGAAAAUUAGUGACUUAUAGGUCAUAGAUUCUCAUUAUGCCAUAGUUUUCCAGGUUGUGUACUUCAAUUUAUGGACAAUUUUUCCAUUUAAUUCUCGAUGGGGCCAAGGCAAGUACUUCUUCUUCCAAUUAUAAUGUACACGAAUGUGAAAUGACUAUAUACCGGCAUUGCGGUCUUAGGAAGAUGGUAUUAAAUUUUAAUUUCCAUCUCUUCAGCCACACUUGUUGCAAAUUUAGAGGUAUUCCAACUACUAUUUCAAAACUGAAUUUGUGAUUUUAUGGAGGCUAUAACCUAUUUUAAUAAUUCCCACACAAAAGUGAAUUGGGGCUGCUUUUAUCAAUUUUCAAUUUCUAUUUACUGCUCUCUGUUGAUUCCAAUAUUAUGAGAAGCUCAUUUCAGGUUGUGGAUGGGCUACAAAACUCACUCAUGUCAGAGGAAUACGAUUGGUAAGAGUGCAAGCAAACUGUUCGAUGAAAUGCUUUGCUCUAAAUUAAAGAUUCAUUGAUGUUGGAUCAUGUAAUGGAUGGUCAUAUUAUUACUGCUGAUUCAUCAAGUUUUGUGAAGAAAUUUCUCCCAAUUAUUUAUGAGGCAAACAUAAAAGAAUCUUGCUGGGCCAAAUAUCAAAUCUUGAUUGAUAAAGGAGAUUUCCAUCAUUCCUCGCACUCUAGCUUUUGAAUUUCUUAUAAAUCGAGGCUAGCUCAUGGUUUUCUUAUUAUUAUCAAAGAUGAGCCAUAGCUCAUGGAUAUCUUAUUAUCAAAGAUAGCAUUUUCUAAGCCCUCGUUCUUUGAACAAAAAAGAGAUAGUAUUUUAUAAAUCCUCAUUACUUAAAUAAAGGAAGAGGCA